This 736-nucleotide ribosomal RNA is filed under the name uncultured bacterium. Its description in RNAcentral is "bacterial SSU rRNA". It matches the Rfam family "Bacterial small subunit ribosomal RNA", at positions 9 to 740 of the family's 1533-position model. The record is from RNAcentral.
GAGUUUGAUCCUGGCUCAGGAUGAACGCUAGCGGCAGGCCUAACACAUGCAAGUCGAGGGGUAACAUUGGUGCUUGCAUCAGAUGACGACCGGCGCACGGGUGAGUAACGCGUAUGCAACCUACCUUCUACAGGGAGAUAGCCCGGAGAAAUUCGGAUUAAUACCCCAUACGAUUAAUAUCACACAAGUGACUUUAAGGAAAGCUUUGGCGGUAGAAGAUGGGCAUGCGUUCUAUUAGUUUGUUGGUAAGGUAACGGCUUACCAAGACUUCGAUAGAUAGGGGGCCUGAGAGGGUGAACCCCCACACUGGUACUGAGACACGGACCAGACUCCUACGGGAGGCAGCAGUGAGGAAUAUUGGACAAUGGAGGCAACUCUGAUCCAGCCAUGCCGCGUGCAGGAAGAAUGCCCUAUGGGUUGUAAACUGCUUUUAUUUAGGAAGAAACGCCAGUACGUGUACUGGUUUGACGGUACUAAACGAAUAAGGACCGGCUAACUCCGUGCCAGCAGCCGCGGUAAUACGGAGGGUCCAAGCGUUAUCCGGAAUCAUUGGGUUUAAAGGGUCCGCAGGCGGGCUAUUAAGUCAGUGGUGAAAUCUCUUGGCUUAACCAAGAAAUUGCCAUUGAAACUACUAGUCUUGAAUUCGGUCGAAGUGGGCGGAAUGUGUCAUGUAGCGGUGAAAUGCAUAGAUAUGACACAGAACACCGAUAGCGAAGGCAGCUCACUAGGCCUGAAU